Bubalus bubalis (water buffalo) is the source of this 1784-nucleotide long non-coding RNA. RefSeq lists it as uncharacterized. Lineage: Eukaryota; Metazoa; Chordata; Mammalia; Artiodactyla; Bovidae. The record is from RefSeq and is a predicted model, not a curated record. The transcript is spliced from 3 exons.
AUAGACAGUGAAGCCUGGUGUGCUGCAGUCCAUGGGGUUGCAAAGAGUCAGAUACGACUGAGCAACUGAACUGAACUAAAGACAAAAGCAAAAAAGAAAAAUUGAGCAGAUGGGGCAAAGUCAUAAACAGAUGUUCUGCAGAAGGGGAAAUAAAAUGACUGGACAUCAGUGAUCAGGGAAACAUACAGAAAAAACAUUCACUGUCAUCAGAUUGUCACAAGCUGUAGUCUUAAAAUACCAGGCCUUGUAUUCCCUGAUGGUCCAGUGGUCCAAAAGAAGGGACAUUUGAUCCCUGGUCUAGGAAGAGUACACACACUAAGGGACAAUUAGACCUUUGCACCACAACUAUGGAGCCCUUACACUAUGGAGUGUGAGCACUGCAACAAGAAAAGUCACCGCAGGAGUAGCCUCUGAUCGCGGCAACUAGAGAAAGCCCGCCAGCAGCAGUGAAGACCUAGUAUGGCCAAAAAAAAUACACCAGGCCAAGAUGGAGAGCUAUGGGAGCUCUCAGACUGCUGAGGGGAGUGUAAAUCAGCCUAACUCUGAAAGACACUUUGGCUUUUCCUAGCAAAGUGGAACAUGAACAUGGCGUGGGGCCCAGCAAUUCUGCUACCAGAUUUGUACCCCAGAGGAAAUCUGCACGUGUGCCCCAGAACGUGGGAUGUGUGUAGCUGGCAGUGAUAAGGAGGCUGUAAAAGUCCCAAUUACUGAACAUUGGUGUGGGCCAGGUGUGCUUUUAAGUUCUUUGCAGGAAUUAGCUCGUUUGCUCCUCUACACGUAUAUGAGACGGGAGGUACGGAGAGGCUGAGUAACUAGCAAUGAGGUCCCAGAGCGGAGAGAGGAGCAGUCAGUGGUAACGGAACCCAGGGUCUGUGCCCUAACCACGAGCAAGGCAAAGCACCCUGUACUCAAGUGUCUCAUGUAACACUAAACCCACAGACGUGUGAGGCAGUGACUUUGUUCAUUCUGCGGAUGAAGAAACUAAAGGGCAGAAAUGUGCACGAGGUCACAUGUAGUGAACGGCAGACUGGGAACAGACUCUUAACGCAGUUGUCCCACCUCUCCCUCAUGUGCAUUUUUCACUUAGGGCCGGGGUAACCCAGCGCGGUGAUGAGAAGGAAGCAGACCGUAGAGAGUGGGUCUGAUUAUCGCUCUGGCCCAAUCGUCCCCACGCCGCGCACAGCAGGGAAUCACCUGAGGGACUCCAGCAUCCCGGGGACCAGCUUUCCCGGCCACUAGCCGCAGCCUCCCUCACCUCAUUGGCCAGGGCUGGGUAUGUGCCUUCCGCGCAGCCAAUGGGGCGAGGGGGCGGGGCGACUGGGAAAGUCGCUGGGCGAGAGGAGGGAAGUCCCCCAGCGCAGACUGCGUCUCCUCCCGCGUCCCUGAGAAAUGGAGUGCAAGUUACUGCCCUCAGAGAAGGAGGAGUUGGUGGCCUGGGGCUUCUGGAAGAGAAGGUUUGUAACCACAGCCGGAAGGAAGGGGAGAGGGAACCAACCAGACCAGCAGGACUGGGAAGCGUGGGGCCACCGUCUGCGCUUGGAGACGGGCCGCUGCUCUGUGCUGUCAGCAUGCCCUCCAGUACUCAGCCACCUUCUCGUGAAGCCUGGGAUGUGAUUCUUCCUCCUGCAACUCUUUCCUGAGGGCACAGGUGCGAGUUCUUUUAGGAACAAAGAAACAAAAGAAUGAGGCUCUAAGGUAGAAUUUCAGGCAGGACAGCUGCUGGACUUAAGAUUUUCAAGAGGGAGUGACUCCAUGGACUAGCCCACCAGGCUCCUCUGUCCAUG